RNAcentral lists this ribosomal RNA (425 nucleotides) under uncultured bacterium. Its description in RNAcentral is "bacterial SSU rRNA". It matches the Rfam family "Bacterial small subunit ribosomal RNA", at positions 354 to 796 of the family's 1533-position model. The record is from RNAcentral.
GUGGGGAAUAUUGCGCAAUGGGGGAAACCCUGACGCAGCCAUGCCGCGUGAGUGAAGAAGGCCCUAGGGUUGUAAAGCUCUUUCAGAUGCGAUGAUGAUGACAGUAGCAUCAAAAGAAGCCCCGGCUAACUUCGUGCCAGCAGCCGCGGUAAUACGAAGGGGGCUAGCGUUGUUCGGAUUUACUGGGCGUAAAGAGCAUGUAGGCGGAUCGAUCAGUCAGGGGUGAAAGCCCGGAGCUCAACUCCGGAACUGCCUUUGAUACUGUCGAUCUUGAGUCCGAGAGGGGGUGGUGGAAUAUCCAGUGUAGAGGUGAAAUUCGUAGAUAUUGGAUGGAACACCAGUGGCGAAGGCGGCCACCUGGCUCGGUACUGACGCUGAGAUGCGAAAGCGUGGGGAGCAAACAGGAUUAGAAACCCUGGUAGUCC